This 274-nucleotide ribosomal RNA is filed under the name uncultured bacterium. Its description in RNAcentral is "partial 16S ribosomal RNA". It matches the Rfam family "Bacterial small subunit ribosomal RNA", at positions 523 to 796 of the family's 1533-position model. The record is from RNAcentral.
AUACGGAGGGGGCUAGCGUUGUUCGGAAUUACUGGGCGUAAAGCGCGCGUAGGCGGAUUGAUCAGUCAGGGGUGAAAUCCCGAGGCUUAACCUCGGAACUGCCUCUGAUACUGUCAAUCUUGAGUUCGAGAGAGGUGAGUGGAAUUCCUAGUGUAGAGGUGAAAUUCGUAGAUAUUAGGAAGAACACCAGUGGCGAAGGCGGCACACUGGCUCGAUACUGACGCUGAGGUGCGAAAGCGUGGGGAGCAAACAGGAUUAGAAACCCCAGUAGUCC